GACGAACGCUGGCGGCGUGCUUAACACAUGCAAGUCGAACGAUGAAGCCUAGCUCGCUAGGUGGAUUAGUGGCGAACGGGUGAGUAAUACGUGAGUAACCUACCUUUAACUCUGGGAUAAGCCCGGGAAACUGGGUCUAAUACCGGAUACGACCAAUCUCCGCAUGGGGUGUUGGUGGAAAGCGUUAUGUAGUGGUUAUAGAUGGGCUCACGGCCUAUCAGCUUGUUGGUGAGGUAACGGCUCACCAAGGCGACGACGGGUAGCCGGCCUGAGAGGGUGACCGGCCACACUGGGACUGAGACACGGCCCAGACUCCUACGGGAGGCAGCAGUGGGGAAUAUUGCACAAUGGGCGCAAGCCUGAUGCAGCGACGCCGCGUGAGGGAUGACGGCCUUCGGGUUGUAAACCUCUGUUAGCAGGGAAGAAGAGAGAUUGACGGUACCUGCAGAGAAAGCGCCGGCUAACUACGUGCCAGCAGCCGCGGUAAUACGUAGGGCGCGAGCGUUGUCCGGAAUUAUUGGGCGUAAAGAGCUUGUAGGCGGUUUGUCGCGUCUGCUGUGAAAGGCCGGGGCUUAACUCCGUGUAUUGCAGUGGGUACGGGCAGACUAGAGUGCAGUAGGGAGACUGGAAUUCCUGGUGUAGCGGUGGAAUGCGCAGAUAUCAGGAGGAACACCGAUGGCGAAGGCAGGUCUCUGGGCUGUAACUGACGCUGAGAAGCGAAAGCAUGGGGAGCGAACAGGAUUAGAUACCCUGGUAGUCCAUGCCGUAAACGUUGGGCACUAGGUGUGGGGAACAUUCCACGUUUUCCGCGCCGUAGCUAACGCAUUAAGUGCCCCGCCUGGGGAGUACGGCCGCAAGGCUAAAACUCAAAGAAAUUGACGGGGGCCCGCACAAGCGGCGGAGCAUGCGGAUUAAUUCGAUGCAACGCGAAGAACCUUACCAAGGCUUGACAUAUACUGGACCGCAUCAGAGAUGGUGUUUCCCUUCGGGGCUGGUAUACAGGUGGUGCAUGGUUGUCGUCAGCUCGUGUCGUGAGAUGUUGGGUUAAGUCCCGCAACGAGCGCAACCCUCGUUCUAUGUUGCCAGCACGUAAUGGUGGGGACUCAUAGGAGACUGCCGGGGUCAACUCGGAGGAAGGUGGGGAUGACGUCAAAUCAUCAUGCCCCUUAUGUCUUGGGCUUCACGCAUGCUACAAUGGCCGGUACAGAGGGUUGCGAUACUGUGAGGUGGAACUAAUCCCUAAAAGCCGGUCUCAGUUCGGAUUGGGGUCUGCAACUCGACCCCAUGAAGUCGGAGUCGCUAGUAAUCGCAGAUCAGCAACGCUGCGGUGAAUACGUUCCCGGGCCU
RNAcentral lists this ribosomal RNA (1347 nucleotides) under uncultured bacterium. RNAcentral describes it as "bacterial SSU rRNA". It matches the Rfam family "Bacterial small subunit ribosomal RNA", at positions 28 to 1381 of the family's 1533-position model. The record is from RNAcentral.